Molecule: long non-coding RNA, 249 nt
Filed under: Gallus gallus (chicken)
Lineage: Eukaryota; Metazoa; Chordata; Aves; Galliformes; Phasianidae
Source: RNAcentral
GUCCGAUUGCCUCCAUGGCAUACUCAACCUGGUACAGGCGGCCUUCUGGAGAAAAUAUGGUGGUUCUGGAGUCAUAUCUUCGAGACAUGGUGCCGGAGCGGCGGGGCAGCGGGCUCACAGCGGGCCGGGGAACGCGCGAUGUGCCGAAGGGACGCUGAGGUGCGGCCGGCGGGAAGAACCGGGCGCUACCGCCUCCCCCACACCUGCACCGCGGCGUCGGAAAUGGCCGCCGCGCCUGCGCGGUGCGUG